GUUAGAAGAUGACGCAAAUGAUGAGAAAUAGU
RNAcentral lists this transfer RNA (32 nucleotides) under Saccharomyces cerevisiae YJM975. Its description in RNAcentral is "partial tRNA-Leu". The record is from RNAcentral. Lineage: Eukaryota; Fungi; Ascomycota; Saccharomycetes; Saccharomycetales; Saccharomycetaceae.